AUUGUUUUGAUGGGAAAACCCCCCGGGCUUAACCCGGGGAAGGUCAUUGGAAAACUGUCCAACUUGAAUACAGAAGGAGUAAGUGGAAUUCCAAGUGUAGCGGUGAAAUGCGUAGAUAUUGGGGGAACACCAGUGGCGAAGGCGACUUACUGGUCUGUAAUUGACGCUGAGGCUCGAAAGCGUGGGUAGCAAACAGGAUUAGAUACCCUGGUAGUCCACGCCGUAAACGAUGAGUGCUAAGUGUUGGAGGGUUUCCGCCCUUCAGUGCUGGAGUUAACGCAUUAAGCACUCCGCCUGGGGAGUACGGCCGCAAGGCUGAAACUCAAAGGAAUUGACGGGGACCCGCACAAGCGGUGGAGCAUGUGGUUUAAUUCGACGCAACGCGAAGAACCUUACCAGCUCUUGACAUCUUCUGUUCACCCUAGAGAUAGGGCUUCCCCUUCGGGGGCAGAAAGACAGGUGGUGCAUGGUUGUCGUCAGCUCGUGUCGUGAGAUGUUGGGUUAAGUCCCAUAACGAGCGCAACCCUUAUUGUUAGUUGCCAGCAUUCAGUUGGGCACUCUAGCGAGACUGCCGGUGAUAAACCGGAGGAAGGUGGGGAUGACGUCAAAUCAUCAUGCCCCUUAUGAGCUGGGCUACACACGUGCUACAAUGGACGGUACAACGAGUUGCGACCCCGCAAGGGUGAGCGAAUCUUGAUAAGCCGUUCUCAGUUCGGAUUGUUCUCUGCAACUCGAGAGCAUGAAGCCGGAAUCGCUAGUAAUCGCGGAUCAGAAUGCCGCGGUGAAUACGUUCCCGGGUCUUGUACACACCGCCCGUCA
RNAcentral lists this ribosomal RNA (819 nucleotides) under uncultured bacterium. Its description in RNAcentral is "bacterial SSU rRNA". It matches the Rfam family "Bacterial small subunit ribosomal RNA", at positions 583 to 1399 of the family's 1533-position model. The record is from RNAcentral.